CACUAAUGAGGCGAUAGCUCAAGCCAGGGAAUCAAGGUCUCAUCAAGAUCCGAACUCAAAUGAGAGACUGAACCACAUGAUUGAAAUCAUGUAUAAUGGUGACGUCGUUAUUCUCAAGGUUGCUUCUAUGGAUAACAUAUAUAGAUAUCCAUUGUCUAGGCCUACUACUCAGCCAUUUAUGAAAUGACUACAGAAGAGGUAUCAUCACUAAUGACCAAGCUGAUUGGCUCUAGUGCAAGUGGGAGAUUGUUGGAAAUGUGCCCUAAAACCAAUCAUAUGAUGAUACUUUAUGGACAUUUCACAUGUUAAACUAAUCUAGUUUAAUAUCAAGGGCAAGAUUAAUUGUUUGAGCCGUCUCAUAUAAAUGUAUAUACGCUUAAAACGAUAAGUCCAAGGAAUAUGUGAUUGGGAGAAUGCGAUCUAAAGAAGUUAGAUUCAUGAGACCAAUCUUUAGUAGACACAUCCUAAACGUUCCUGAUCAUAGGAUUGCCAAUUGGGCAUUGACAGUCCGUUAAGAUCAAUACAUGCUAUGUCUUCUCUUAGUGAGAGUGACUAGUCUCGAGUCAUUGGUGUGUGACAUCAAGACAAGCAUGUAGGUGCUCAAUAAUGAAUGAGUCCACUGAACACGAUCAACGAGAGUUCUCAUACUCAUGUCGCCAUGAAAACUCAUGGUUGGGAUAAUGCAAAGUAGUCCUUUGACCUGAGGCAUCAAGUUGUCUUGUGGUUAAGUCCUUGAUCUUUGAUUAUGUCACAGUCACUCCAUCAGGAGGGUGUCCACGGCACCGUCGGGGUUAAGCCACUUAGCCAUGGAGGCAAGUGAAUGCGCAACAAGGGAUCUCUAACCUUCAAACCGUUUGGGGGAGAAUACUCUAUGAUAUGAUUAAGAAUCUUUGGCCAGAGUAUGAAUGAGAUUUAAGAAGUCGUUCCAAAUCACAUUCAAGGCAAUCAUAUAAGCACACGAAUCACAUUGGAUAGUAGACAUGAAUAAACUAUCAAACCAAACAAUGUGCUCAAGAGUAUUGUAUUAGAGAAAGACCGUAUUGCAUUUGUAAUCCUAAACUGAAUAGGUUCUCCACCUCUUCUGAUUAGCUUGGGUAACCAUGAUAUGCUGCUAGGUGUCACUUAUGGUUUGUGGAAGCCCUAAACGUGUAUAAUCACUAAAGGGAGAAUUGAAAGUAAACUUCAAUUCACAAUCGAUUUGAAAUGGUUUUAAUCGCCCACUGCCUCGCUAAAAGGAACCUAAUGGAUCAUACACCGUGUAAGGUGGAGAUUGAAGAAACAAUGGAGAUGAGUAAGAAUAAUUAAAUGGUUUAAUUAUUUAUGG
RNAcentral lists this long non-coding RNA (1324 nucleotides) under Malus domestica (apple). RNAcentral's name for it is "long non-coding RNA (MDOM_LNC013953)". The record is from RNAcentral. Lineage: Eukaryota; Viridiplantae; Streptophyta; Magnoliopsida; Rosales; Rosaceae.